GAUUAACGCUGGCGGCGUGCCUAACACAUGCAAGUCGAACGAGGUAGCAAUACCUAGUGGCAGACGGGUGAGUAACGCGUGGUCAACCUACCGUUGAGUGGGGGAUAACUAGCCGAAAGGUUAGCUAAUACCGCAUACGCCUCCGAGUGGCAUCACUUGGCGAUAAAAGGAAGCAAUCCGCUCGAUGACGGGACCGCGUCCCAUUAGCUAGAUGGUGGGGUAACGGCCUACCAUGGCACCGAUGGGUAGCUGGUUUGAGAGAGCGACCAGCCACACUGGGACUGAGAAACGGCCCAGACUCCUACGGGAGGCAGCAGUGAGGAAUUUUCCGCAAUAGGCGCAAGCCUGACGGAGCGACGCCGCGUGUGGGAAGAAGGCCUUCGGUCGUAACC
Molecule: ribosomal RNA, 392 nt
Filed under: uncultured bacterium
Lineage: Bacteria
Description: bacterial SSU rRNA
Rfam family: Bacterial small subunit ribosomal RNA
Source: RNAcentral